Molecule: ribosomal RNA, 377 nt
Filed under: uncultured organism
Description: partial 16S ribosomal RNA
Rfam family: Bacterial small subunit ribosomal RNA
Source: RNAcentral
GUAGGUGGCAAGCGUUGUCCGGAAUUAUUGGGCGUAAAGCGCGCGCAGGCGGUCCUUUAAGUCUGAUGUGAAAGCCCACGGCUCAACCGUGGAGGGUCAUUGGAAACUGGGGGACUUGAGUACAGAAGAGGAAAGCGGAAUUCCAAGUGUAGCGGUGAAAUGCGUAGAGAUUUGGAGGAACACCAGUGGCGAAGGCGGCUUUCUGGUCUGUAACUGACGCUGAGGCGCGAAAGCGUGGGGAGCAAACAGGGAUUAGAUACCCUGGUAGUCCACGCCGUAAACGACGAGUGCUAAGUGUUAGGGGGUUUCCCGCCCCCCUUAGUGCUGCAGCUAACCGCAUUAAGCACUCCGCCUGGGGUAGUACGGCCGCAAGGCUG